Long non-coding RNA from Onychostoma macrolepis, 3289 nucleotides. RefSeq lists it as uncharacterized. The transcript has 2 exons. Lineage: Eukaryota; Metazoa; Chordata; Actinopteri; Cypriniformes; Cyprinidae. The record is from RefSeq and is a predicted model, not a curated record.
AAGUAUCCUUCAUGUCUAUAAGCACAUGCAGAAUAUUUAGGGUUGGGGGUUUAUUUAUAAACAAUCAAGAUUGCAAAGUCUCUAUUAAUAAGUAUGCCUCACAAUGGUAAAGCCACAGAUUAAGUGUCAAAACAAACUGUCAUUGAGUAGCUGAUAAGUGCAUUGUGCACUUCCUUUUCCUGUAUAUUUCAUAUUAAGCAAAAACAGGUGGUUGUUGCUUGGAGACAGUAGCUUAAGAUGAAAUCCUCUUAGACCUUAUGGAAAAACAGUAGCUGAGUGUCUUUAAAACCACACAUGCUAAACCUGACACAGAAAAAAAAAAUUAUCUGCGUAGUUAGGUAAAAAUAUAUAAUGCAUUUGUCAUUCUGUCUGGUGAAUCAAACAUCUCUCUUCUCGUGUGGUUACCAUGACAAUGAAUCUCAUGCACAUUUUGUGGGGAAUCCCAUUCGUUAAACAUGUGACAGAGUCAAGCACAUGGCACAGAGGUCCUCUCUGGACCCUCUGCUGCCUGUGUGUGCAGCAAUUCAGUGCAUUAGUAUGGGAAUUAGUCUGUGUGUGAGACCCUCCUCAGGUGAGCAGCUGAUUUCAGUUUAACCUUUUAAGGAAAAUGACAGCUUAAACAAAGCUUUCCUGAUUUAAUGCAAUACAUUAUUAUUUAUCCAACUCUGCCUGCAGUCCAUUGCACCUCUUACGAAAACUUACUGUAUACAAAUGUAUAAGCAUAGCACUGUAUAUACCAUGACAUUAAUCAAUCACCGUGUUCAUAUACUAUGGUAUUUACAUGGUGUUGUCUUUGAUAAAAAUUGGUACUUGUUUUUGGUUUCUGCUCCCCCUAUCGAUCAUUUAUGGUAAUUUCGAUGUCAUCCAUUUCUCUCUGUCGACCAGAAGAGAGCAGCAUAGACCAUUUUUACAUCUUCAUAUUCGCCAAGUGUGCACAAACACACAAGGAAUUUGUUGUGCAGUUUUUUUUAGGAGCUCUUGGUACAUACAUACAUACAUACAUACAUACAUACAUGAAAUGACAUGAUAACAGAAGAACAAUUAAAUAAGACUAAAGAAAAUAGUAAUAAUAAUGUGGUAUACAUCUGGAACAGAUUUAUGUACAUAUUUGUGCAUUAUUUACUGUAUAUAAAUCGGUAUAAAUAAAAAAUAUGCGUAUGCCUAUAUGAUAACAUUACUGACUAGUCAACAUUUGAAGUGGAUCAAAAAGGCAUCAAAGUGGUUUUAGGACAACUUUGAAAGGAUGCACUUCAAAUGUUCCCUGCUAAAAAAAACAAUAGAAGCCAAUAGAAACCAUCACAGAAAUGCUAAUGGUUUCCGUUAAAAUACCAUUAAACCAUUAGCUUUUUCCAGUAAAACCAUUACAAAAUUCAUUUUUUCCAAUAGGAUUUAACAUCUCACCAAUAGAAUCCAUCACAUACCAGUAAACACCAUUAUAGUUUGCAUUAAAACCAAUACAAUUCCCAAUAUAACCAUUACAUUUUCUAUUGUGUUUUGGGCAGGGUUCUAUUGUUUGUUUUCAUUUCAUUUUCAUUGCUACUUUCUGAUGAUGACUCACGAAGAACAUCCUGUUUUACUGGAACUACCGUAUUGGUACCGUUCAUAGCAUUAACCACUGACUGAUUUUAAUAAAACGAGUUAGUUAUUUGUGUGACUUUAUUAUUUAAAAUGGCAACAGAUUGUGAAUUAGUGAUGGGCAGUCUGACUUAUUUCAUCGAAUCGGUUCUUUUGAACAGUUUCAAAGAACCGUUUUGAAAAAAACAAUACAGUGAUCCUUUUACGUUCUGACGCAGUUACGUCCGUACGUCUCACCUUACAAGCUCUGAACAUAUUUCAGUAAAGCCCUAUAGGUCUAUGUGUGUUACUUACGCUUUUGUAGGGAAGCUUGUUGUAAUUGUAUAUGUGUCCCCGCACAUAAAACCAUAAAGUCAUUUAGGAUAUGCGUUAAUAAAACAGUCAUACAGUCAUCGUAAACACAUUUCCUGUUCAUUUCUUUUGGCUAUUAAUUUUUGGGCUAUUAAUGUAACACUUAGCGCUUUAAGUAGGCUAAUAUGUAAUCAGACCUUUUAAUUCCAGAACAGCGUAAACCGAUUCGUUUAGCCAAUGAUUCAUUUAAAUGAUUCACCUCAAAAGAACGAUUCUUUCACACACGGGAAUUUCUGCAUACUGUUGGAAACUCCCACUUCACGAAGGGAUUUUAUAUGAUGUCAGGACGUGAAAAGGCAAAGCGGCACUGAGUCUGACACAGCUGUAAUAAAUUCCCACACAAGCAAGACCAUCGUCCCUCCUGGACAGUCCUGGAUAGCGAAACAUGGCUGAACUCGGCUUUCUGAAGAUCUGUUUCAUCGGAACCGCGUUUUCCUUUCUGGUGGUUCUGUUUGGGUUGGUUGAUUCUGUCGGAGGCCUGAUGUACCCUCAAGGACUGGACUGGGCAGACGACAGCUGGACAGAGAAGCUUCCCACCGUGUCUCCAUCACGGACUGCUACUGCUGCCAACAACACCACCACCAAGCGCAACGGGUCGAGGUGAUCUUCUCCACUGCCAUCGGUGGCGAGUCUUUAAUUGCACUAUAGGAGAAAUAAUCGGUGUUUUAAUGUUACUGACCUACUAAAGCCUGCUGUGGAAUUAUCUCCUCCAUGACACUACUGUGAGUCAGACAUGAAGAACAUCUAAUAAUGGCUAAUCACGCUACAGCCAUACGAGAUGCCAACUCUUCACAUUCAUUACAUUUUUUGCUUUGUAUUCUUCAAAAAAAACUUGUCUGACUUUAUAUGAAGAAGAGGCUGCAAGAGUGGAAAAAAAAAUCUUCGGGAGAGAUUGAAAGCUUAAAAAUCCUGCAAACAUGCUUCAUGAAUGUGCUGGACUCUAAAUAUUGAAAUCCUUUGUUCAAAAUAUUGAACAAAUAUUGUUCCUUAUAUGCUGUUCAUAUGAAGACAACAAUAGCUCACAAUGUUAAUAUACAUUUGUGUAACAUGCUGUCCUCAGCAUAAGAAACUGGCAUUAGGCAGCAAGACUUUGUUUGGGUUUUGGGUAAAGGGGGUCUGAAAGAUAUCAGCCAUGCAAAAAUUAUGUUACUAAAACUUACUGUUCUAUAUUAAACUGAAUACAAAUGUGACCCUGGACCACAAAACCAGUCUUAAAUCGCUGGGGUAUAUCUGUAGCAAUAGCCAAAAAUACACUGUAUGGGUCAAAAUUCUUGAUUUCUUUUAUGCCAAAAAUCAUUAGGAUAUUAAGUAAAGAUCAUGUUGUAAAUUUCCUACUGUAAAUGUAUAAAAACUUAAAAAUUGA